Molecule: non-coding RNA, 72 nt
Organism: Teratosphaeriaceae sp. CCFEE 6253
Lineage: Eukaryota; Fungi; Ascomycota; Dothideomycetes; Mycosphaerellales; Teratosphaeriaceae
Source: the annotation of a GenBank genome assembly
GGACCGUUGGCGCAGUGGUAGCGUAUCUGAUUCCAGUCCAGAUGGUCACCCGUUCGAAUCGGGUACGGUUCA